Phyllostomus hastatus (greater spear-nosed bat) is the source of this 121-nucleotide small nuclear RNA. NCBI's taxonomy places the organism in Eukaryota, Metazoa, Chordata, Mammalia, Chiroptera, Phyllostomidae. The record is from RefSeq and is a predicted model, not a curated record.
GUGUUGUAUGAAAGGAGAGAAGGUUAGCACUCCCCUUGACAAGGAUGGAAGAGGCCCUUGGGCCUAACAACACGCAUACAGUUAAGGCAUUGCCACCUACUGAAAUCAACUUACAGAUCAU